Anolis carolinensis (green anole) is the source of this 1185-nucleotide long non-coding RNA. RefSeq lists it as uncharacterized. The record is from RefSeq and is a predicted model, not a curated record. The transcript is spliced from 3 exons. NCBI's taxonomy places the organism in Eukaryota, Metazoa, Chordata, Lepidosauria, Squamata, Anolidae.
AAUUAUGUAUCAGGGUGUGUCAUCCACAUGCAUGUUUCCACAAAUGUUGAUAUGUAACCAAUUCAUGAGACUUGCACCUAUUAGAGGUCAACUACUUGGCUGAGUUCUGCUCAGCCACAGAAUCUACACAGCCGGCUUGUAUGGUUGCUGUGUUGCUGCCUGCAUCGGAUAUGGGACACAUUCCAAUAAGGACCCAUCCUAUGGCACUCAAUCUUCCAGCUCAUUUCCUGGUGUCACAACUAUAUCCAGCAAAGUGUAGACUCAUCCUGAUGUAGUCCUGCUCCUGGACAGGGUAUUGAUGAUUCAACCCCAUCAUUCCUUUUGUUACGGAUGACCAACAAAAGCGAGACCCUCCCAACAGGCUGUCUAUCUAGAACAUACAACACACCAGGGGAAAGGGUGCAAAGGGAAGAUGGAAACAAAUAAACAGCUAGAAACAGAACAAUUGCUGCAAAUAAUUAUCUCCACAUAAUGUGCUCAAGAUACCAGAAUUUUCCCUUUGGACUCAUCCCUGGACUUAGAACUCAGGAAGCAUUUUGAUCCCACAAAGACACAAAAGAAAUCUCAAACCUAUCAUCCUGGGAUUGCUAGCCAAUUUUGUAUGAUGUACUGUAUAUGCUCAUGUAUAUGUCGAGGACAGGUUUGGGAAUUAAAAUUAUGAAUUUUUAUGUGACUUGUGGAUAACUUGAAGUUCAUUCUGCAGAGAGGGGAACACAUCAGUGUUGCCUUAGGGGGCCGGCCACCCCUGGUCACCACCAUUCUCCACCUAGGCAUUCCGAAAGGUCAGAAGUAGCACCAUGGUUGAAAGUAGAGGGGGUCAGUGCUUCUUUUAUAUUCUUCCAGAAAGGAGUGAGCUUUUGCCUUUUGUCAUUCUACUAAGAGAAGGGAAUGGUUGCUUUUGUAUACAGGCAAUCUCUGGGUUACAGACAAGAUAAGUUAUGAUAUAAUAAUACUUUAUUAAUAGGCCACCCUAUCUCCCUGAGGUUCUGUAGAUUUGUUCUCAAGUUGAAUUUCUAUGUAUGUCAAAACAGGCACAUUAUUUAAGUGUAACUCCAGCCCAAUUUUUUAAAAGUUAACAUCCCUGUAACAUUUCUUUUUCUGCUUGUGUCCCUUUUCAGAAGAUUUCACCUCACUUUCUGUCUCUGUGACUAUAGGAUAUUGAAAAAUUUGGCUUGUCAUGGAAAC